UGUCUUCUUUGGUUGUUGCAGUGGUUUUCAGAUCUGAUAGUGAAUUUGAAUCCCAUCUCUCCAACCAUUCCUACGUAGAAUUUGAAUCCCAUCGAAAUAUUCUAUCUGAAGAGCUAGCACUGGUACAAAUAUUUUUAUGGAAACAAGCUGUACGUAAGGAAGGAAGAAUCUUGUUUGAAUGUUAUUUGUACGCAAUUAUUUUAUAGACAAAUGUAAUUAAUUACCUUACAGAUAAAUGGAUUUGACGAUCGCUCUAGAAAUGUUCUGAAAGAGACUUCCUUCUCAGAAUCCUGAAUUCAGAUCGGAGACAAUUAACAUAUAUAGAUAUAAAAUCUGAACAAUAUUAAAAAAAACACAAGAAGAGUUACAAAUUCUGGAGAUGGAGAAUACUAUAUUAGAAAUCCUACUGUCAAAACAAUAGAGCUGGCUCCAAUAGUUAUCGUGACUCCAGAAAGACGAAAGGGAAGUCGGUCACCAGUCACCACGAAUGAUGAAGAUUGAUUGGAUUUUUGCUAAAUGAUGAACGAAGCAAUGAAGGUAUAUAUGCCUCGAUCAAAGAUUGAUAGGAUUAUGAAAUAUCGCAAAGAGAUAUCCAACUUUGACGCCAGGUUACAUGAUGCCAACUAUAUCUGCUCUUACAAAAAUCCAUAAUAGUUAUGGAUCUGCUUAUCGGAAUUAUUUAGAGAUUUUGAAGAAUGUAAAAAGGAAGAAGGAAGAGUCCUUAAAUAAUAAUGCAAGAUUAGUAGUUAUAAAUGAUAAUUUGUUGAUAGGAGGUUCGUUUAUU
Molecule: long non-coding RNA, 784 nt
Filed under: Zostera marina
Lineage: Eukaryota; Viridiplantae; Streptophyta; Magnoliopsida; Alismatales; Zosteraceae
Description: long non-coding RNA (ZMAR_LNC003616)
Source: RNAcentral